CCGGCCUCCAGCUUCUUCUGUCUCUCCUCGUCCUCCAUGGCCUCUGCAAGGAAGGCAGGGGAAAACAGGGGUUGAGGGGUGGUUGGGGAUAGAAAGGAAAGGUCGAUUUGGACGGAGGUGGGACGGCAAGCUCCACGGCCUAGAGAGCCGAUUCGGUCCGGCGCUCCCCCGCCCGAAGUGGAAGCAGUCUCCGCGCUCACUGGCGGAUCGUCCUCAGCCGCACGGGAAGCGCCGUCACCGCCGCCGCCGCCGCCAUCUUCGUCUCCACGUAAACACACGGCGAGGCGGGAGGGGCUGGAACGUCUGUCCGCGCAGCCGCCUCGUGGGCAGGUGCUCCUGGGGUGCCGCCCCGGCCCAGCCCUCCGGGGUCAACCCUUGCCAGGCCUGGGACCUGCCUCCUACCAGCGAGGAUCCCGCCGUAGAGAGCGCCCUUCCCGCACAUCAACGGCUCACAGGUGGCGGCCGAGCUGAGGGGUUACAAAACUAACACACCUAAUGGUGAAAUUGGCGAACACCUACAAGCUCCAACGGAAAAGUUCCGGUGGGGGGUGGUGGGGGGGCGGACGCCAGGUUUUCUACCUACAUUAACUGCUUGACUCAAGAAUUAUGAGAGCAGCUAAUUGCUCUUAUUACUUCCUUAGCCUGAAAAGUCCCUCCCUCUUCCCUCCACUGGUUCCCACUCAAUCUCCGGUUCAUCCUUAUAGUCCCAUCGCACACGCUGCCUCCAAAUGGCUUUUCUGACCUCUUGUUCCCUCCACGGCAACCGAGACACAUCCAGUCAAAACUUAGUCCCCUCCCCCGACUCUUUGGGGCUUCCCUUUAACAGUAGUGUUCUGAAAGGAGCCUGAGCUUUAGAACCUCGGUUAGGGACAAUGCCAGACUACACUAACUUUCUAGCGUUAAUGACAAGUUACCUAUCCUCCCUGAGCCUACCUGGAAUUUUUGGAAGGGUUGUUAAUAUAUGUGACUGCCCUGACAUAUUAAAACGUCCUGAAUAAUGUCAGCUUUAUUUCUCCUUGGACUUCCUUUAAGUACCCUGCACCAUAUUUUAAUAAUUUGUGUGCGUCUUAGUUCAGCUCAUACUCCCAGCUCCUUGAUGACAGAGACUCAUCAUAAGUCUUGCUCAUCUUGGCUUUACUAAAAUGACCAGCACAGAGCUCUG
RNAcentral lists this long non-coding RNA (1162 nucleotides) under Homo sapiens (human). Its description in RNAcentral is "non-protein coding lnc-MTERF1-8:1". Lineage: Eukaryota; Metazoa; Chordata; Mammalia; Primates; Hominidae. The record is from RNAcentral.